This 308-nucleotide ribosomal RNA is filed under the name Bacillus sp. Expt2_483F1_P2YB_C09. Its description in RNAcentral is "bacterial SSU rRNA". It matches the Rfam family "Bacterial small subunit ribosomal RNA", at positions 1054 to 1363 of the family's 1533-position model. Lineage: Bacteria; Bacillati; Bacillota; Bacilli; Caryophanales; Bacillaceae. The record is from RNAcentral.
GUCAGCUCGUGUCGUGAGAUGUUGGGUUAAGUCCCGCAACGAGCGCAACCCUUGAUCUUAGUUGCCAGCAUUCAGUUGGGCACUCUAAGGUGACUGCCGGUGACAAACCGGAGGAAGGUGGGGAUGACGUCAAAUCAUCAUGCCCCUUAUGACCUGGGCUACACACGUGCUACAAUGGAUGGUACAAAGGGCUGCGAGACCGCGAGGUUUAGCCAAUCCCAUAAAACCAUUCUCAGUUCGGAUUGCAGGCUGCAACUCGCCUGCAUGAAGCUGGAAUCGCUAGUAAUCGCGGAUCAGCAUGCCGCGGU